RNAcentral lists this ribosomal RNA (203 nucleotides) under uncultured bacterium. RNAcentral's name for it is "partial 16S ribosomal RNA". It matches the Rfam family "Bacterial small subunit ribosomal RNA", at positions 524 to 726 of the family's 1533-position model. The record is from RNAcentral.
UACGUAGGGUGCAAGCGUUAAUCGGAAUUACUGGGCGUAAAGCGUGCGCAGGCGGUUUGUAAGUCUGUCGUGAAAUCCCCGGGCUCAACCUGGGAAUUGCGAUGGAGACUGCAAGGCUAGAAUCUGGCAGAGGGGGUAGAAUUCCACGUGUGAGCAGUGAAAUGCGUAGAGAGUGUGGAGGAACACCGGUGGCGAAGGCGGUU